RNAcentral lists this ribosomal RNA (515 nucleotides) under uncultured bacterium. Its description in RNAcentral is "partial 16S ribosomal RNA". It matches the Rfam family "Bacterial small subunit ribosomal RNA", at positions 28 to 523 of the family's 1533-position model. The record is from RNAcentral.
GAUGAACGCUGGCGGCGUGCCUAAUACAUGCAAGUCGAGCGAAUGGAUUAAGAGCUUGCUCUUAUGAAGUUAGCGGCGGACGGGUGAGUAACACGUGGGUAUCCUGCCCAUAAGACUGGGAUAACGCCGGGAAACCGGGGCUAAUACCGGAUAACAUUUUGAACCGCAUGGUUCGAAAUUGAAAGGCGGCUUCGGCUGUCACUGAUGGAUGGACCCGCGUCGCAUUAGCUAGUUGGUGAGGUAACGGCUCACCAAGGCAACGAUGCGUAGCCGACCUGAGAGGGUGAUCGGCCACACUGGGACUGAGACACGGCCCAGACUCCUACGGGAGGCAGCAGUAGGGAAUCUUCCGCAAUGGACGAAAGUCUGACGGAGCAACGCCGCGUGAGUGAUGAAGGCUUUCGGGUCGUAAAACUCUGUUGUUAGGGAAGAACAAGUGCUAGUUGAAUAAGCUGGCACCUUGACGGUACCUAACCAGAAAGCCACGGCUAACUACGUGCCAGCAGCCGCAGUAA